Non-coding RNA from Pelobates cultripes (western spadefoot toad), 235 nucleotides. NCBI's taxonomy places the organism in Eukaryota, Metazoa, Chordata, Amphibia, Anura, Pelobatidae. The record is from the annotation of a GenBank genome assembly.
AACACUCCCAAUUUUAGGGCCUUGUCCCAAUGCCUCGACUUUGUUCACUGGUGUUGGGCUUAUGGAGACACUAAGAAACUGUCUUUAGAAAGCGUAGUGUGGGUACAUCAUUAGAUGCUUGCUGUACACUCAGGGUUUGUAAGAGUCAGAAGAGUAUACUGAAACAGAACUGCCUACACACAACACUCUUUCUUUGUACAUAACCCCCAUCAUAACGCCAGGAACGGAAAACUAG